UUAGGAUCUAAAUCAAACUCGACCAAAACCAAGACCUAAACCAAAAUUGUGAGGGCUUCAUGGUACCAGUUCCGGGUCGGUUCUAACGGGAACUGGCUCGGUGGCCUGGUCUAACUUCAUGCAGGUUCUCAUCAAUUGUAUCACAAGAAUGAAGAAAAUGUCAAGCCAUAUCAACAAUCUCAUUAGCUAAAAAAGUUGUGCACCAAUUGCCAAACACAGUUUAAAUUUAUAAAUAUAUCCAUUUUUGGGUCUAUUGUUUUUCCUUUUAGGAAAAAUAGAGUUAAAAGCACUCCCACAGUCUACUAUCGUUUUAGGCUCCAAUCUUUGGACUGAUAACCCUUUUGAAUGAAGCCAUUCUCAUUCAUGUAUUCAACAAAUUCAUCUAUAAGAUGAGGCCAAGCUCCAUCAACAUCAUAAUUUGAUAAUGUGAAGUCCACUGUCUGCACAAGAGAGAAAAAAAAAAAAGUUAACAGUUAUGAAAGAUGAGCACGCAGGACACAUAUACCUUUGAACACUCAUAAGAACAAUAUUCCAUGCUCCCUUUGCUGAUUAAAUCUAAUUAGAAAACAAUUCUAUUAACACAUUGUAAUUGUAUUAGACAAUUAAUUGUGUUAACCACUAAAAAAAAUGAGUAAUGAUUAUAAUGGUCAAAUUGUGGUGAUGGUGGUGGGAGGCGGCAAUGUUAUGGAACAAUUCCAGAAAUCAAGAAGACAGAGGAAGAAUCACAGAAACAUUAACUUAAGAGAGAGAAGAAACACAUUUUAUUCAUAGCAUUCAAGAAUGAGGGUUUUUGGUUACAUUCGCAGCUCAUAUCACCUGCCUACUGAAACUAACAUAUUUAUAAUUCUCUUCCCUAAAACAUGCUAAGCCUUACACGUGCCUCUCUCACAUAACUUCCUAACAACUCAGCUGGAGAUCACAUUCCCACAAGUUCAUCGUAUCAAUUCCUUAAAUUGCUGCACACCUGGUUCAUAUCAGGCAAUGAGGUGGCUGUCAAAAUAAAGCUUGGGGGAGGUGCUGGUGGUAGUGAUGAAAUUGGAUCCUCAUAGGUGGAUGUGGACUAUAUUAACGUGAUAAUGAAGCCAAAAAUGAUGGUAGUGAUAUAGGUGAUCAAGUGAUUGCAGUUGUGAUAAUGGUGGUUGGCAAUCAUUGUUGUAGUGGUGGCGUUAUGCAGUCCUGCCAAGUGAAUCGUGAAGGAAGAGGCUGUGGUAAAAGUUGUUACAGAAUAGGAAGUUGUUGCACAACAGGAAUCAAAUUGAUAGAGAUAGACGCUGUAUAUCUUCCUAAUUAGUUAGCAUGAAUUUAGGAAGAACUGUGUAAUAUAUCUGUAAUCAUUAUUUAUGAAAAACAUCAAUUUUUCUGCUCCGAUAACAUGGUAUCAGAGCAAUAAUUUCAAAGGGGCAAAAAAAAACAUAUUUUGUUUCUCUGUUAUGGUACCUAACACUGCUGCCUUUUCUAGGUCAGCCAUCUAGGGUACAGAUCAGAGUGCUACCGUUGAAUCAGAGUAUAAAGCCAUGGCACAAUCUAUAUGUGAAGUAAUAUGGAUAUCUCUAAGUAACUAGAUGAGGUUGGUCUUAAGACCUCCUACCAGCUAAGUUAUAGUGUGAUAAUCAAGCUACUCUUCAUAUUACUUCUAGUUGUGUUUCUCCAGCGAACUAAACAUAUUAAGAUUAAUUAUCACUUCAUUCAUGAAACAAUUCAAUAGAAAAUUAUCUAAACAAGACACACCAAGAUUAGAGAACAGUUGAGAGAUACCUUCACAAAAGCUCUAAGCAGAGCUUAGGUUGAUUAAAUUUGUAACAAACUAGGCGUAAUUAAUAUCUAUGCUCCAGCUUGAGGGGGAGCAUUACAAAAUAGGAAGUUGUUGUAUAAUACGAAUCAAAUGGAUAGAGAUAAACAUUGUACAUCUUCCUGAUUAGUUAGCAUAAAUUUAGGAAGAAUUGUGUAUAUAUAUCUAUAAUCAUUAUUUAUGGAAAACAUCAAUUUUUCUGCUCUACUAACAAAAAUAAUAAAUGUGCAUGUAUUUUUCAAUUGGGAAAGCAGUAGAAACUAGUGAAGUUUUAUGCAGAAAAAUAAUAGAAAAUAUUUUCUCAACAUCAGCAUAAAUUUGGAACCUAAAAAACAUAUUUUCUGAAAACUGUUUUCUGGAAAUUAGGAAAACUAUUCCAUUUGAUUAAAAAAAAUAAACUGAAAAAUUUUACAUAAAAAUUUUCCACAAAUAAACAAGUUGAAAGUUCCCAAUUUUCAUUUAGGAUGUCAUAUUUAAAAAUAAAACAUUGAUUUCUACUAUUCCCAGAAAAACUUUCAGGAAAACAGCUCAAAUCCUUCGCAAUUGACACCUCCUUCUCCCUGGAAAAGAAUUUUUACAUUCAUAAGGAAGAGUACUUUCACCUUGUAUCCCUCUUUAACAUCUUUUGCAGAGGGAAGAACAAAUGAGUUUUUGAAGAUGAGGAAAGUUCUCUACGCACGAUUGCAACCCCUUGGCACUCAUUAAUCAUCUUUUUAUAUUAUGAGAGAAAAAAGGAAAAAGUUGUAAUUUGAUGGUUUGCGUCAUACCUUGGUAAAUUCCAAUAAUUGAGACCAAGUAUCCCUAGAGAUCGCUUUAUUAUGCCGAGCCUGCAAAAACUGGCACCAGUGAUCAACUAAUGGCCAUUGUUUUUCAGCAAACAGCAGUUGCCACAUUCCAAUAGCUGUAUCCAAUGCCAGAGAUUUUUGACCCUUUUCUUUUGCCCAACCAAAAGCAAAGUUGUAGAUCUCACAAAACUUUUGUUCAUCUUUAAGCUCAGAUCGCAUGAAUGGCAUCGUCUCACGAAACUUCUCCAAAGAAUCUAUCCCUAAUGCUCUUAAUCCACCAAUGAAUUCCUGCUUGGAGAAUUCACACAUGGUGGCAGCCUUCAUGUGCCAUGAAACAACUAGCAUAACUAUAUCUUGAGGAUCCACCUGGAGGUCAUUGCAAAGUAGAGUGAUCCCAUCAACCAGUAUCAUAUCAACAUAAGGAUCUUUAUAUCUGCUGUAAAGCUUCUCCAAAUUUCUGGAAUCAGUGAACGUUUUAAUAUGGGCUUGGUUAUAGAAGACAUCAAAUGCUCCAUCAAGAUGCCAAUCUCUGCCCCUUAAAGCUUGAACAUUGGCACUUGGCAUAGACAUAGUAGCUCCGUCUUCUUCCUCCUCAUGAAAUUUCUUCUUGGACCUCUUGGAAAACUUGAGAUUUGAAGGAUUCAUCGUCUAAUCUUCUCCCUAAUCUUCAAGAUUUCAUGAUAUUUUUGAGGUGCCCCGGUUGAUGGCCUUCCUUUCUAUUCUAUUCUCUGCCCUUAUUUCACAACCUUGGCAAAAAGGCAAGGUAGUUAAAUU
RNAcentral lists this unclassified non-coding RNA (3348 nucleotides) under Hevea brasiliensis (rubber tree). The record is from RNAcentral. Lineage: Eukaryota; Viridiplantae; Streptophyta; Magnoliopsida; Malpighiales; Euphorbiaceae.